UACAGAGGGGGCAAGCGUUGUUCGGAAUUACUGGGCGUAAAGGGCGCGUAGGCGGCCUGCUAAGUCGAACGUGAAAUCCCUGGGCUCAACCCAGGAAUUGCGUCCGAUACUGGUUGGCUUGAAUCCGGGAGAGGGACGUGGAAUUCCAGGUGUAGCGGUGAAAUGCGUAGAUAUCUGGAGGAACACCGGUGGCGAAGGCGACGUCCUGGACCGGCAUUGACGCUGAGGCGCGAAAGCCAGGGGAGCAAACAGG
Molecule: ribosomal RNA, 253 nt
Filed under: uncultured bacterium
Lineage: Bacteria
Description: partial 16S ribosomal RNA
Rfam family: Bacterial small subunit ribosomal RNA
Source: RNAcentral